UGCCAGCCGCCGCGGUAAUACGGAGGGUGCCAACGUUGUUCGGAAUUACUGGGCGUAAAGCGCGUGUAGGCGGCUUGAUAAGUCGGAUGUGAAAGCCCUCGGCUCAACCGGGGAAGUGCAUCCGAUACUGUCAAGCUUGAGUACCGGAGAGGAAAGGGGAAUUCCCGGUGUAGAGGUGAAAUUCGUAGAUAUCGGGAGGAACAUCAGCGGCGAAGGCGCCUUUCUGGACGGAUACUGACGCUGAGACGCGACAGCGUGGGGAGCAAACUGGAUUAGAUA
RNAcentral lists this ribosomal RNA (279 nucleotides) under uncultured bacterium. RNAcentral's name for it is "partial 16S ribosomal RNA". It matches the Rfam family "Bacterial small subunit ribosomal RNA", at positions 506 to 784 of the family's 1533-position model. The record is from RNAcentral.